GUGUCAGCAGCCGCGGUAAUACGUAGGGUCCGAGCGUUGUCCGGAAUUAUUGGGCGUAAAGGGCUCGUAGGCGGUUCGUCACGUCGGGAGUGAAAACUCGGGGCUUAACCCCGAGCCUGCUUCCGAUACGGGCAGACUAGAGGUAGGCAGGGGAGAGCGGAACUCCUGGUGUAGCGGUGGAAUGCGCAGAUAUCAGGAAGAACACCGGUGGCGAAGGCGGCUCUCUGGGCCUUACCUGACGCUGAGGAGCGAAAGCGUGGGUAGCGAACAGGAUUAGAAACCCCCGUAGUCC
RNAcentral lists this ribosomal RNA (292 nucleotides) under uncultured bacterium. Its description in RNAcentral is "partial 16S ribosomal RNA". It matches the Rfam family "Bacterial small subunit ribosomal RNA", at positions 505 to 796 of the family's 1533-position model. The record is from RNAcentral.